This 440-nucleotide ribosomal RNA is filed under the name uncultured bacterium. Its description in RNAcentral is "partial 16S ribosomal RNA". It matches the Rfam family "Bacterial small subunit ribosomal RNA", at positions 338 to 795 of the family's 1533-position model. The record is from RNAcentral.
CCUACGGGGAGCAGCAGUGGGGAAUAUUGCACAAUGGGGGGAACCCUGAUGCAGCAACGCCGCGUGGGUGAAGAAGUACUUCGGUAUGUAAAGCCCUGUCAGCAGGGAAGAAAAUGACGGUACCUGACCAAGAAGCCCCGGCUAACUACGUGCCAGCAGCCGCGGUAAUACGUAGGGGGCAAGCGUUAGCCGGAUUUACUGGGUGUAAAGGGAGCGUAGACGGACAGGCAAGUCUGGAGUGAAAGCCCGUGGCUCAACCACUGGACUGCUUUGGAAACUGUGUUGCUGGAGUGCAGGAGGGGUAAGCGGAAUUCCUAGUGUAGCGGUGAAAUGCGUAGAUAUUAGGAGGAACACCGGUGGCGAAGGCGGCUUACUGGACUGUAACUGACGUUGAGGCUCGAAGGCGUGGGGAGCAAACAGGAUUAGAUACCCCAGUAGUC